Molecule: ribosomal RNA, 274 nt
Filed under: uncultured bacterium
Lineage: Bacteria
Description: partial 16S ribosomal RNA
Rfam family: Bacterial small subunit ribosomal RNA
Source: RNAcentral
AUACGGAGGGUGCAAGCGUUGUCCGGAUUUAUAGGGUUUAAAGGGUGCGUAGGUGGCGUGUUAAGUCAGUGGUGAAAGCCUGCAGCUCAACUGUAGAGGUGCCAUUGAUACUGACAUGCUUGAGUAUGGACGAGGUAGGCGGAAUUUGUGGUGUAGCGGUGAAAUGCAUAGAUACCACAAAGAACACCGAUAGCGAAGGCAGCUUACUGGACCAUAACUGACACUGAGGCACGAAAGUGUGGGUAGCGAACAGGAUUAGAAACCCUAGUAGUCC